GUACCCUGGUAGUCCACGCUGUAAACGAUGUCGACUUGGAGGUUGUUCCCUUGAGGAGUGGCUUCCGGAGCUAACGCGUUAAGUCGACCGCCUGGGGAGUACGGCCGCAAGGUUAAAACUCAAAUGAAUUGACGGGGGCCCGCACAAGCGGUGGAGCAUGUGGUUUAAUUCGAUGCAACGCGAAGAACCUUACCUACUCUUGACAUCCAGAGAACUUAGCAGAGAUGCUUUGGUGCCUUCGGGAACUGUGAGACAGGUGCUGCAUGGCUGUCGUCAGCUCGUGUUGUGAAAUGUUGGGUUAAGUCCCGCAACGAGCGCAACCCUUAUCCUUUGUUGCCAGCGGUUCGGUCGGGAACUCAAAGGAGACUGCCAGUGAUAAACUGGAGGAAGGUGGGGAUGACGUCAAGUCAUCAUGGCCCUUACGAGUAGGGCUACACACGUGCUACAAUGGCAUAUACAAAGAGAAGCGACCUCGCGAGAGCAAGCGGACCUCAUAAAGUAUGUCGUAGUCCGGAUUGGAGUCUGCAACUCGACUCCAUGAAGUCGGAAUCGCUAGUAAUCGUGGAUCAGAAUGCCACGGUGAAUACGUUCCCGGGCCUUGUACACACCGCCCGUCACACCAUGGGAGUGGGUUGCAAAAGAAGUAGGUAGCUUAACCUUCGGGAGGGCGCU
Molecule: ribosomal RNA, 672 nt
Filed under: bacterium LB-111
Lineage: Bacteria
Description: bacterial SSU rRNA
Rfam family: Bacterial small subunit ribosomal RNA
Source: RNAcentral